UACGAAGGGGGCUAGCGUUGUUCGGAUUUACUGGGCGUAAAGCGCGUGUAGGCGGGCUGGAAAGUUGGGGGUGAAAUCCCGAGGCUCAACCUCGGAACUGCCUCCAAAACUUCCAGCCUGGACCCAAGUAGAGGCAAGUGGAAUACCGAGUGUAGAGGUGAAAUUCGUAGAUAUUCGGUGGAACACCAGUGGCGAAGGCGACUUGCUGGACUUGUGGUGACGCUGAGACGCGAAAGCGUGGGGAGCAAACAGG
Molecule: ribosomal RNA, 253 nt
Filed under: uncultured prokaryote
Description: partial 16S ribosomal RNA
Rfam family: Bacterial small subunit ribosomal RNA
Source: RNAcentral